CACGUAGGGUGCGAGCGUUGUCCGGAAUUAUUGGGCGUAAAGAGCUCGUAGGCGGUGUGUCGCGUCGGCCGUGAAAACCUGCAGCUUAACUGUGGGCUUGCGGUCGAUACGGGCAUCACUGGAGUUCGGCAGGGGAGACUGGAAUUCCUGGUGUAGCGGUGAAAUGCGCAGAUAUCAGGAGGAACACCGGUGGCGAAGGCGGGUCUCUGGGCCGACAUUGACGCUGAGGAGCGAAAGCUAGGGGAGCAAACGGG
This 254-nucleotide ribosomal RNA is filed under the name uncultured bacterium. Its description in RNAcentral is "partial 16S ribosomal RNA". It matches the Rfam family "Bacterial small subunit ribosomal RNA", at positions 524 to 776 of the family's 1533-position model. The record is from RNAcentral.